This 32-nucleotide non-coding RNA is filed under the name Syntrophotalea carbinolica DSM 2380. The record is from RNAcentral. Lineage: Bacteria; Pseudomonadati; Thermodesulfobacteriota; Desulfuromonadia; Desulfuromonadales; Syntrophotaleaceae.
GUGCUAUCGUCUUUCAUUCCCCACCUCCAUAC